Molecule: long non-coding RNA, 912 nt
Organism: Numida meleagris (helmeted guineafowl)
Lineage: Eukaryota; Metazoa; Chordata; Aves; Galliformes; Numididae
Exons: 4
Source: RefSeq, a predicted model, not a curated record
CCCGGCGGCGCUGGGGGCACGGCGUUGCCGUGCGGGGUUGAGGAGCCCCGGAGUGCUCGUCGCCUCGCCCAGCCGCCCUGCGGGAGGGCUGCUCGGUGCGGGGCCCGGACGGCUCGGGGCUGCGGCUCCGGGCGUGUGCCUGUUCUGUCUUCCUGUGUCGUCAGCCCUGUGACGCGUGGCGGCAGCCAGCGUGAAGCUGGGCCUGGUGGUAGCUGUGGGCAGCCCACCGAGCGCCCUGCCCAGUGAGUUAUUCCCUGGUAGUCUGCAAGGGAAGGCUGCUCAGAAGUGUGAUGGGCAUUUUUAUUAUUAUUAAUGUCAGCAUGUUCGCACUGAGGUUAGAUUACAGCCCCAUUGUGAGUGGUUCGGAGACAGCCUGUACUCUGGGGAACACGCUGUCCGAACAGGAACGGCAGCAGAAAGGGCAGGGAACGAGCACAGCCCGAGGAGAGGAAGCUCUUUUCCCUCGGUUCAUGCAGCAGAAAACAGACUUCCUGCACCAUGCAGGCCCCUUAUCCUUUGGACCGCACGGUCUUCUUGUGUCCUGAUCUUCAGCUGGCGGAACACAGCUUCAUCCCGCUGAAAAGCCAGUGAAGCAGACGGGAGGACAACUCUGCUUCCUGAUGACAUGGUUGUUUCCACCAGGCAAGACAAUGGACCGAGCACUAAUGAUGGAAGAGUAGCAGACAGUAUCAAAUAACAUGUGCUUCCUGCCAGAGCAUUUCAGAAAGUUGAACCAAACCACUGCCUAAGCAUCUGGACUAAAGCUUGGGAAAAUAAGGAUGAGAGGACAAGAUCCAGCAGAUCUGAAAUGUUGGGGUAUAUGGUGUCCUGGAACAACCUGUUUAACCCACCAGCCACUGACAGAACUUCCUUUGUUUAGUAUUACUUUUUAUUUUCUUCUGUUUUGCAAUU